This is a long non-coding RNA of Phacochoerus africanus (Common warthog), 545 nucleotides long. RefSeq lists it as uncharacterized. The transcript is spliced from 3 exons. Lineage: Eukaryota; Metazoa; Chordata; Mammalia; Artiodactyla; Suidae. The record is from RefSeq and is a predicted model, not a curated record.
CCUCCCUAGGAGAGGCUCCCGGAGCGCCCACAUCCCGGGCUCUCCAGGACUUCCCCGGCCCCGGAGCGGGAGCUGCGGAACCCCACGCCGCACUGACGGGCCUGCCCGCAGAGGCUGGACAGUGAGCUUCUCAAAUUGCCAGGCUUUUGGAGAGCUAGCGGUGGCCGUGUGACUCAGUUCUGGUGCAGGAGAGGCAAAGCAGAAAUGUCUGAGAAGGGUUUCCCUUCCCCAAGAGAGGCCAAACCUUGAACAGAGAAGAAUGUGAAUCCCUCUGUCUCCUUCCUGUCUGGAACUCAAAGCCGGUGCCUGGAGGUGCGGCAGCCGUCUUGGGACUAUGAGGAUGAAACCCGCGUGCCGUGCAGGAAGACCCUGACCUCGCCCAAAAUUCUGGAUGGACCGGAGUUAAAUAUAACAAAUAUGUAAACAACAUAACCAAAAACCUAGGCGAAAACAGAAGCAUAUUUGUAACAUCUGCAGGACGGUGAAGUGGGCUUCACAGAAAAUGACAAGGACAAAAUGCUAUGUUUCAAUAUGAAAAUAAAGAA